UGAAAACUUUGAUGUUCAUUGAUGUUCUGUAUGCAAUGUGUCUUUUAUUUGCUGUCUGACUUAAAAUUUUGCCUUUAUGUUUCAUUUUCAGUAGUUUGAAUUGAGUAUAUCUUGGAGAUUUUCUUCUGUUUAUUUAUUUGAUAUUUAUGUACAUAUUUUUUUGGGUAUUUAUUCCCUUUGGUAUUUCCUCAGCUUCUUGGAUCUGUGAUUUGUUGUCUGCUGUGGUUUGGAUGACUGUGUCCCCACCUCCUCCAAGAUCAUAUGUAGAAAUCCUAAUGCCCAAGGUGAUGGUGUUAGAAGAUGGGGUUUGGGAAAGGAAAUGAGGUAUUGAAGGCAGAACUCUCACGAAUGACAUUAGUACCCUUCUAGGAGUCCCAAGGGAACUGAGUCAUGCCUUCUAUCUUUUCAUCAUUGAGGAAACAGCAAGAUGGCACUGUCUGUGGACCAGGAAACAGGCCCUCACCAGACACUGAGGCUGUAGGCAAUUUUAUCUUAGAAUUCCCAGGCUCUAUAAUUAUACAAAAUGCAUUUCUGGUGCUUAUAAACUAACCAGUUUAUGGUAUUUUUCUUAUGGCUUAAAUAGACUAAGGCAUUGAAUUCCAAAAAAAUUAUCCAGUACCCCCCCUUUUUUUUCAGUCAUCCCUCUUAAAAUAUAAAUGUUUUGACCUGUUCUGCCC
RNAcentral lists this long non-coding RNA (677 nucleotides) under Marmota monax (woodchuck). The record is from RNAcentral. Lineage: Eukaryota; Metazoa; Chordata; Mammalia; Rodentia; Sciuridae.